This 366-nucleotide ribosomal RNA is filed under the name uncultured organism. Its description in RNAcentral is "bacterial SSU rRNA". It matches the Rfam family "Bacterial small subunit ribosomal RNA", at positions 526 to 896 of the family's 1533-position model. The record is from RNAcentral.
CGGAGGAUCCAAGCGUUAUCCGGAUUUAUUGGGUUUAAAGGGUGCGUAGGCGGCUUUUAAGUCAGGGGUGAAGACGGUAGCUCAACUAUCGCAGUGCCCUUGAUACUGAAGAGCUUGAAUGUACUUGAGGUAGGCGGAAUGUGACAAGUAGCGGUGAAAUGCAUAGAUAUGUCACAGAACACCAAUUGCGAAGGCAGCUUACUAAAGUAUGAUUGACGCUGAGGCACGAAAGCGUGGGGAUCAAACAGGAUUAGAUACCCUGGUAGUCCACGCCCUAAACGAUGAACACUCGAUGUUGGCGAUAUACGGUCAGCGUCUAAGCGAAAGCGUUAAGUGUUCCACCUGGGGAGUACGCCCGCAAGGGUG